GUCUCAGUUCGGAUCGGAGUCUGCAACUCGACUCCGUGAAGCUGGAUUCGCUAGUAAUCGCGCAUCAGCCAUGGCGCGGUGAAUACGUUCCCGGGCCUUGUACACACCGCCCGUCAAGCCAUGGGAGCCGGGGGUACCUGAAGUCCGUAACCGCGAGGAUCGGCCUAGGGUAAAACUGGUGACUGGGGCUAAGUCGUAACAAGGUACC
This 208-nucleotide ribosomal RNA is filed under the name uncultured bacterium. Its description in RNAcentral is "partial 16S ribosomal RNA". It matches the Rfam family "Bacterial small subunit ribosomal RNA", at positions 1285 to 1500 of the family's 1533-position model. The record is from RNAcentral.